RNAcentral lists this ribosomal RNA (404 nucleotides) under Althepus kuan. RNAcentral's name for it is "partial 16S ribosomal RNA". It matches the Rfam family "Bacterial large subunit ribosomal RNA", at positions 1858 to 2601 of the family's 2925-position model. The record is from RNAcentral. Lineage: Eukaryota; Metazoa; Arthropoda; Arachnida; Araneae; Ochyroceratidae.
CCUGCUCAAUGAAAUUUAAUAGCCGCUUUAUAUAAGUGCUAAGGUAGCAUAAUCAUUAGUCUAUUAAUUAUAGAAUAGAAUGAAAGGAUUAACGAGUUAAGAACUUUAUUUUAUCUUCAUCAUGAAUCUUAUAUAAAAGUAAAAAAGCUUUUAUUUACAGAAAAGACGACAAGACCCUUUAGAACUUAACUCAAAGUUUAACUGGGACGGUUAUCAUAAAAACUAAUCUACUAAAUAAAAAUAACUUAAGCUAUAUAAUAUAAAAAGUUACCUAAGGGAUAACAGCAUAAUUUUAUUAUAAAGAUCUUAUUUAAAAUAAAUAUUAUGACCUCGAUGUUGAAUUACUAAACUAGUAGUAGAAAAUUACUUCAAAGUAAGUCUGUUCGACUUUUAAACCAGUACAU